This 468-nucleotide ribosomal RNA is filed under the name uncultured bacterium. RNAcentral describes it as "partial 16S ribosomal RNA". It matches the Rfam family "Bacterial small subunit ribosomal RNA", at positions 28 to 507 of the family's 1533-position model. The record is from RNAcentral.
GACGAACGCUGGCGGCGUGCUUAACACAUGCAAGUCGAACGGAAAGGCCCUGCUUUUGUGGGGUGCUCGAGUGGCGAACGGGUGAGUAACACGUGAGUAACCUGCCCUUGACUUUUGGAUAACUUCAGGAAACUGGGGCUAAUACCGGAUAGGAGCUCCUGCUGCAUGGUGGGGGUUGGAAAGUUUCGGCGGUUGGGGAUGGACUCGCGGCUUAUCAGCUUGUUGGUGGGGUAGUGGCUUACCAAGGCUUUGACGGGUAGCCGGCCUGAGAGGGUGACCGGCCACAUUGGGACUGAGAGACGCGCCAGACUCCUACGGGAGGCAGCAGUGGGGAAUAUUGCACAAUGGGCGGAAGCCUGAUGCAGCAACGCCGCGUGCGGGAUGACGGCCUUCGGGUUGUAAACCGCUUUCGCCUGUGACGAAGCGUGAGUGACGGUAAUGGGUAAAGAAGCACCGGCUAACUACGUG